This 72-nucleotide transfer RNA is filed under the name Klebsiella pneumoniae. RNAcentral's name for it is "tRNA-Trp". It matches the Rfam family "tRNA". Rfam says of the family: Transfer RNA (tRNA) molecules are approximately 80 nucleotides in length. Their secondary structure includes four short double-helical elements and three loops (D, anti-codon, and T loops). Lineage: Bacteria; Pseudomonadati; Pseudomonadota; Gammaproteobacteria; Enterobacterales; Enterobacteriaceae. RNAcentral also lists the same sequence under 23 other names. The record is from RNAcentral.
AGGGGCAUAGUUUCAAUGGUAAAACAUCGGUCUCCAAAACCGCAGUUGGGAGUUCGAGUCUCUCUGCCCCUG